RNAcentral lists this ribosomal RNA (1481 nucleotides) under uncultured Bordetella sp. RNAcentral describes it as "partial 16S-23S ribosomal RNA intergenic spacer". It matches the Rfam family "Bacterial small subunit ribosomal RNA". Lineage: Bacteria; Pseudomonadati; Pseudomonadota; Betaproteobacteria; Burkholderiales; Alcaligenaceae. The record is from RNAcentral.
AAGGGGGAUUCGAUAUGCCAGAUUAUAGACGCUGGCAUGAGAUGCUUUACACAUGCAAGUCGAACGGCGGCACGGACUGGUGGUGGCGAGAGUGGCGAACGGGUGAGUGUGUAUCAGAACGUGCUAAUGGCAGGAUAACUUCGCGAAAGCGUAGCUAUUGCCACCUUACGCCCUUCAGGGAAAAGCGGGGGACCUUCGGGCCUCGCACUAUUAGGCGGCCGAUAUCCAGUUAGCUAGUUGGUGGGAGUAACGGCUCACCGGGCGACGAUCCGUAGCUGGUUUGAGAGGACGACCAGCCACACUGGGACUGAGACCUGGCCCCAGACUCCUACGGGGAGGCAGCAGUGGGGAAUUUUGGACGGUAAAACCCUGAUCCAGCCAUCCCGCGUGUGCGAUGAAGGCCUUCGGGUUGUAAAGCACUUUUGGCAGGAAAGAAACGGCACGGGGGAUAAUACCCCGUGCAACAGCGGACACCUGCAGAAUAAGCACCGACUAACUACGUGCCAGCAGCCGCGGUAAUACGUAAGUGCAAGCGUUAAUCGGAAUUACUGGGCGUAAAGCGUGCGCGGGCGGUUCGGAAAGAAGAUGUGAAAUCGACUUAACCUGGAACUGCAUUUUUAACUACCGAGCUAGAGAGUGUGUCAGAGGGAGGUGGAAUUCCGCAUGUAGCAGUGAAAUGCGUAGAUAUGCGGAGGAACACCGAUGGCGAAGGCAGCCUCCUGCGGGAUAACACUGACGCUCAUGCACGAAAGCAGUAGAGCAAACAGGAUUAGAUACCCUGGUAAGUCCACGCCCUAAACGAUGUCAGCUUCAGCUGUUGGACCUUCCGGACGCUUGGUAGCGCAGCUAACGCGUGAAGUUGACCGCCGCAGGAGUACGGUCGCAAGAUUAAAACUCAAAGGAAUUGACGGGGACCGCACAAGCGGUGGAUGAUGUGGAUUAAUUCGAUGCAACGCGAAAAACCUUACUACCCUUGACAUGUCUGGAAUCCCGAAGAGAUUUGCGGUGCUGCCGAAGGCCGGAACACAGGUGCUGCAUGGCUGUCGUCGCUGGCUCGUGCUCGGUAGAGAUGUUGGGUUAAGUCCCGCAACGAAAGGCACAACCCUUGUCAUUAGUUGCUACGAAAGGGCACUCUAAUGAGACUGCCGGUGACAAGCCGGAGGAAGGUGAGGAUGACGUCAAGUCCUCAUGGCCCUUAUGGGUAGGGCUUCACGUCAUACAAUGGUCGGGACAGAGGAGUCGCCAACCCGCGAGGGCCAAUCCCGAAACCCGAUCGUAGUCCGGAUCACCAGUCUGCAACUCGACUGCGUGAAGUCGGAAUCGCUGGUAAUCGCGGAUCAGCAUGUCGCCGGUGAAUACGUUCCCGGGUCUUGUACACCGCCGUCACACCAUGGGAGUAGGUUUUACCGUGGUUAGCUAACCGUAAGGAGGGCGAUUACCACGGUAGGAUUCGCGGCUGGGGUGAAGUCGUAACAAGGUAG